This 301-nucleotide ribosomal RNA is filed under the name uncultured bacterium. Its description in RNAcentral is "partial 16S ribosomal RNA". It matches the Rfam family "Bacterial small subunit ribosomal RNA", at positions 509 to 807 of the family's 1533-position model. The record is from RNAcentral.
CAGUAGCCGCGGUAAUACGAGGGGGGCGAGCGUUGUUCGGAAUUAUUGGGCGUAAAGCGCACGUAGGCGGAUUUUUAAGUCAGGGGUGAAAUCCCGAGGCUCAACCUCGGAACUGCCUUUGAUACUGGAGAUCUCGAGUUCGGAAGAGGUUGGUGGAACAGCUAGUGUAGAGGUGAAAUUCGUAGAUAUUAGCUAGAACACCAGUGGCGAAGGCGGCCAACUGGUCCGAUACUGACGCUGAGGUGCGAAAGCGUGGGGAGCAAACAGGAUUAGAUACCCGGGUAGUCCCUGUCUCUUAUAC